RNAcentral lists this small RNA (1395 nucleotides) under Drosophila pseudoobscura pseudoobscura. RNAcentral's name for it is "GA31177". Lineage: Eukaryota; Metazoa; Arthropoda; Insecta; Diptera; Drosophilidae. The record is from RNAcentral.
GUCACCUUUGCCAAUUUUGUAUUCCCAAUUCCCUAAUUCGAAAUUCGAAAUCUGUAGAUUUCUCUUUGGGGCUCCACUGUCUGCCCCGAUCCAUUGAUCCAUCUAAAUAUAUCAGCCUUUUGGGAAAUGCAUCUAUUUUUGUACAUGGUUCAAGCACUUACUUCUGAUUAAUACCGUCAGGAGCCCGAAAAAAGAACCAAAUCAUUUUGCCCCUGAUUUAUUGGCCGUUUGCUUUGAUGACCGACCCUCACGACCGACCCUCACCCCCCACCGCCAUCCCAAGGACCAUUUGUCCACCCCUUCGAAGUAUUCGUGUGUCUGUCAUUAGCAUUACGAUUGCCGGCGAGUCGUAAAGUACUUGACGAAAAUGGAAAGCUGCUGACUGCUGCCUGAGACGAACUUAAAGAGUGAAGGACGCCUGACGAAAGUGAGAGGCAGUGCGGAGAGUCCUUUACAAGGUUGUGAAUAGGAGGGGGCGCUGGGCGCUUGAAGAGGGGACGGCUUAAGAGGGGCUGUCUGAAGCCGAAGCUCAGUCGCAAAGAUAAACAAGCAACAAAUUAAAAUGAAUUAAAAUUGUGUAAAGUUACGAAAGUCUCAAGUGAUGAUGAAGUGGCGAAGGGGUUAAGGCGCUAUUGAGAGGGAGGGUGUGCUGUGGCUUAGCCAGCCAAUGGCUAACUAAGAUUAAUGGGCUGGACAGGAGCAGGAAGAGCUCCAAGACCAGGAGCAGGAAGGGCUUCAAGACCGGGAGUACGCAGGGCUCAAGACCAGCAGCAGAAAGGGCUCCAAGACUAACAGCAGAAAGCGCUCCUAAGCCUGAAGAUGGACAAUAUCCAGGGGCAGUGCCGCUAGAUGCAGCAGCAGGUUCACAAGUAGACGAUCCAGGAGAGGUCCCGAGCCGAAAGUAGGACAGGGUCGAGAGCCAAGAAGGGUUAACUAUUCGCACUCCCCCAUACCUAGGCCCAUUCCCAGCUCCUCUGCUCUGAACACUCAAUUCGCAUAGUGAAGAUUACGGACUUGUAAGGAAUGCUCUCCGCCUUAACCGCUGUCGUUGUCGCUGUCGCUGUCAGCGGCAGCUAUACAGUUUUAGCCAUAUUUGGGGAACAUUUUGACUAAUGUUCCAAGCAAAAAAAACAUAAAAUUUCAUCCACCGAGUGGACUGGAGGGGAAAGGCCAGACAGUCUGACUGGCUGAUGGACCGAUUGGGCCCUUGAUCGAUGGGCCCCGACGAAGCGGGCCAAAACGAUUAUUAUAACAAGUCGUUGAAAAAACACACAGUUUCUGCAAAAUGUAAUUAACUCGAAAGCCAUAUUUAAGAUGAACGAAAAGAGUUUGUAUUUGUGGAAUGGGAACAAGAUACGCCAAGAGCUUGCAGGAUGGCAGGUUUAGUAUAACCCU